This 1530-nucleotide ribosomal RNA is filed under the name Escherichia coli UMEA 3268-1. RNAcentral describes it as "bacterial SSU rRNA". It matches the Rfam family "Bacterial small subunit ribosomal RNA". Lineage: Bacteria; Pseudomonadati; Pseudomonadota; Gammaproteobacteria; Enterobacterales; Enterobacteriaceae. The record is from RNAcentral.
AGAGUUUGAUCAUGGCUCAGAUUGAACGCUGGCGGCAGGCCUAACACAUGCAAGUCGAACGGUAACAGGAAACAGCUUGCUGUUUCGCUGACGAGUGGCGGACGGGUGAGUAAUGUCUGGGAAACUGCCUGAUGGAGGGGGAUAACUACUGGAAACGGUAGCUAAUACCGCAUAAUGUCGCAAGACCAAAGAGGGGGACCUUCGGGCCUCUUGCCAUCGGAUGUGCCCAGAUGGGAUUAGCUAGUAGGUGGGGUAAAGGCUCACCUAGGCGACGAUCCCUAGCUGGUCUGAGAGGAUGACCAGCCACACUGGAACUGAGACACGGUCCAGACUCCUACGGGAGGCAGCAGUGGGGAAUAUUGCACAAUGGGCGCAAGCCUGAUGCAGCCAUGCCGCGUGUAUGAAGAAGGCCUUCGGGUUGUAAAGUACUUUCAGCGGGGAGGAAGGGAGUAAAGUUAAUACCUUUGCUCAUUGACGUUACCCGCAGAAGAAGCACCGGCUAACUCCGUGCCAGCAGCCGCGGUAAUACGGAGGGUGCAAGCGUUAAUCGGAAUUACUGGGCGUAAAGCGCACGCAGGCGGUUUGUUAAGUCAGAUGUGAAAUCCCCGGGCUCAACCUGGGAACUGCAUCUGAUACUGGCAAGCUUGAGUCUCGUAGAGGGGGGUAGAAUUCCAGGUGUAGCGGUGAAAUGCGUAGAGAUCUGGAGGAAUACCGGUGGCGAAGGCGGCCCCCUGGACGAAGACUGACGCUCAGGUGCGAAAGCGUGGGGAGCAAACAGGAUUAGAUACCCUGGUAGUCCACGCCGUAAACGAUGUCGACUUGGAGGUUGUGCCCUUGAGGCGUGGCUUCCGGAGCUAACGCGUUAAGUCGACCGCCUGGGGAGUACGGCCGCAAGGUUAAAACUCAAAUGAAUUGACGGGGGCCCGCACAAGCGGUGGAGCAUGUGGUUUAAUUCGAUGCAACGCGAAGAACCUUACCUGGUCUUGACAUCCACGGAAGUUUUCAGAGAUGAGAAUGUGCCUUCGGGAACCGUGAGACAGGUGCUGCAUGGCUGUCGUCAGCUCGUGUUGUGAAAUGUUGGGUUAAGUCCCGCAACGAGCGCAACCCUUAUCCUUUGUUGCCAGCGGUCCGGCCGGGAACUCAAAGGAGACUGCCAGUGAUAAACUGGAGGAAGGUGGGGAUGACGUCAAGUCAUCAUGGCCCUUACGACCAGGGCUACACACGUGCUACAAUGGCGCAUACAAAGAGAAGCGAUCUCGCGAGAGCAAGCGGACCUCAUAAAGUGCGUCGUAGUCCGGAUUGGAGUCUGCAACUCGACUCCAUGAAGUCGGAAUCGCUAGUAAUCGUGGAUCAGAAUGCCACGGUGAAUACGUUCCCGGGCCUUGUACACACCGCCCGUCACACCAUGGGAGUGGGUUGCAAAAGAAGUAGGUAGCUUAACCUUCGGGAGGGCGCUUACCACUUUGUGAUUCAUGACUGGGGUGAAGUCGUAACAAGGUAACCGUAGGGGAACCUGCGGUUGGAUCACCU